This 497-nucleotide ribosomal RNA is filed under the name uncultured bacterium. RNAcentral's name for it is "partial 16S ribosomal RNA". It matches the Rfam family "Bacterial small subunit ribosomal RNA", at positions 28 to 507 of the family's 1533-position model. The record is from RNAcentral.
GAUGAACGCUGGCGGCGUGCCUAAUACAUGCAAGUCGAGCGAACAGACGAGGAGCUUGCUCCUUUGACGUUAGCGGCGGACGGGUGAGUAACACGUAGGUAACCUACCUAUAAGACUGGGAUAACUUCGGGAAACCGGAGCUAAUACCGGAUAAUAUUUCGAACCGCAUUGUUCGAUAGUGAAAUAUGGCUUUGCUAUCACUUAUAGAUGGACCUGCGCCGUAUUAGCUAGUUGGUAAGGUAACGGCUUACCAAGGCAACGAUGCGUAGCCGACCUGAGAGGGUGGUCGGCCACACUGGAACUGAGACACGGCCCAGACUCCUGCGGGAGGCAGCAGUAGGGAAUCUUACGCGAUGGGGGAGAGCCUGACGGAGCAACGCCGCGUGAGUGAUGAAGGUCCUCGGAUCGUAAAACUCUGUUAUUAGUGAAGAACAAACGUGUAAGUAACUGUGCACGUCUUGACGGUACCGAAUCAGAAAGCCACGGCUAACUACGUG